CCUACGGGCGGCAGCAGUGGGGAAUAUUUCACAAUGGGCGAAAGCCUGAUGCAGCAACGCCGCGUGAGCGAUGAAGGCCUUCGGGUCGUAAAGCUCUGUUCUCAAGGAAGAUAAUGAUGGUACCUGAGGAGUAAGCCUCGGCUAACUACGUGCCAGCAGCCGCGGUAAUACGUAGGGGGCUAGCAUUAUCCGGAAUUACUGGACGUAAAGGGUGCGUUGGUGGUAUCUUGAGUCAGCGGUGAAAGGCUACGGCUAAAACGCAGCAAACCGUUGAAACUGGUAAGCUCGAGAGCAGGAGUGGUGAGUGGAAUUCCUAGUGUAGCAGUGAAAUGCGUAGAUAUUAGGAGGAACACCAGUAGCGUAGGCAGGUUACUGGACUGUUACUGACACUAAGGCACGAAAGCGUAGGGAGCAAACGGGAUUAGAUACCCCUGUAGUC
RNAcentral lists this ribosomal RNA (439 nucleotides) under uncultured bacterium. RNAcentral's name for it is "partial 16S ribosomal RNA". It matches the Rfam family "Bacterial small subunit ribosomal RNA", at positions 338 to 795 of the family's 1533-position model. The record is from RNAcentral.